GGAAAGGUGUCCGAGUGGUUUAAGGAGCUAGUCUUGAAAACUAGUGAUGCGGCAACGCACCGUGGGUUCGAAUCCCACCCUUUCCGCCA
This 89-nucleotide transfer RNA is filed under the name Megasphaera elsdenii. RNAcentral describes it as "tRNA-Ser(tga)". It matches the Rfam family "tRNA". From Rfam's summary of the family: Transfer RNA (tRNA) molecules are approximately 80 nucleotides in length. Their secondary structure includes four short double-helical elements and three loops (D, anti-codon, and T loops). Lineage: Bacteria; Bacillati; Bacillota; Negativicutes; Veillonellales; Veillonellaceae. RNAcentral also lists the same sequence under 38 other names. The record is from RNAcentral.